Long non-coding RNA from Physella acuta, 375 nucleotides. RefSeq lists it as uncharacterized. The record is from RefSeq and is a predicted model, not a curated record. NCBI's taxonomy places the organism in Eukaryota, Metazoa, Mollusca, Gastropoda, Physidae.
CACUGUGUGAACUGUGUCAACAAGAUUUGAUUCAAGCGUACACACAAAACAACACACUUAACUUGUGUGUUUGUUAUGGUUGUGUGCACCAUCAUUAAGCAGCAGUAAUGAAGACUGCUAACAUUUUACUUUUACCUACCUGAACACCACACACCAGCAGGCCUCUCUUAGAUUAAAUCACCACUGCCUGAUAAUUAAAAUGGAUCCUCAAAAAGAAUCCACUCUUCUAAAAUAUAUUAAUAUCCUUGGUGGGCAUGAUGUUAUAAAGCUAAUGCAUUUAAAAAGUGGACACUUCUACCUCUAUUUACUGAACAUUUUAGAUUAUCCAUGUAACAGUGAGUGUAAAUCUGAUGAGGAGAGGCUUCAUUUGGUUAA